GUAAGGAAUAUUGGUCAAUGGAGGCAACUCUGAACCAGCCAUGCCGCGUGCAGGAAGACGGCCCUCUGGGUUGUAAACUGCUUUUAUCCGGGAAUAAACCUGCCUUCGUGAAGGUAGCUGAAUGUACCGGAAGAAUAAGGAUCGGCUAACUCCGUGCCAGCAGCCGCGGUAAUACGGAGGAUCCAAGCGUUAUCCGGAUUUAUUGGGUUUAAAGGGUGCGUAGGCGGCCUGUUAAGUCAGGGGUGAAAGACGGUGGCUCAACCAUCGCAGUGCCCUUGAUACUGAUGGGCUUGAAUGGACUAGAGGUAGGCGGAAUGUGACAAGUAGCGGUGAAAUGCAUAGAUAUGUCACAGAACACCGAUUGCGAAGGCAGCUUACUAUGGUCCUAUUGACGCUGAGGCACGAAAGCGUGGGGAUCGAACAGGAUUAGAAACCCGAGUAGUCC
RNAcentral lists this ribosomal RNA (445 nucleotides) under uncultured bacterium. RNAcentral describes it as "partial 16S ribosomal RNA". It matches the Rfam family "Bacterial small subunit ribosomal RNA", at positions 354 to 796 of the family's 1533-position model. The record is from RNAcentral.